Peromyscus maniculatus bairdii (prairie deer mouse) is the source of this 644-nucleotide non-coding RNA. Lineage: Eukaryota; Metazoa; Chordata; Mammalia; Rodentia; Cricetidae. The record is from RefSeq and is a predicted model, not a curated record.
CUAGGUCUCUGUGCUGCCCGGCAGCCUGGUCACCUAGGUGACCGGUGGGCCGGAGGACUCCAGCUGCAGGAGCUGAGCGGCUGCCUAGGGCGAGGACAGCAGGCAGUUCCCGGGGACGCCUCUCUUUAGGCCGCCUUCUCUGCUGGUUGGCAGGGGCCCUUCUCGCCAAGGUUUCCCCAGUGCCCCGCCUUCCCUUUUAAAGGUGAGGAGACUGAGUUCGGAGACGAUGCCGGCCAUUGCCUACGCCAUGUCGGAUCCCGCAGGCGCCCGCUGUUCUGGAUUGAGUACACUCUCAGCAGCACGUCCUUCCUCUACAGCACCUUCUCCUGAGUUCCUUGUUCGCAGCUUCCAGGACCUUGGCAAAUGCUCAAGGUCAAAGUUCCCAGGGACAAAUCCCAGUGUUUACCUCAAGAUGUGUGGCUGUCAUGGGGGGGGUGGGGGGGGUGGCGACUUUUGUUUCUAGGGUCCAAACGGCAUCAGAGGCCUCCGGGAGUGAUCUUUGGACUUCACCUUGCUCCCCUGCUUGUCCAGACCACCUUUCCUACACCCCUCGCAUGUCCUUGUGUCCUCUGGUGUCCUGCUGCACGGCGCCAAAGGUCGUUUAAACACUAAAAAUAGCAGACGUAGAAAUGAGUGCCCAAGAA